RNAcentral lists this ribosomal RNA (433 nucleotides) under uncultured bacterium. RNAcentral describes it as "partial 16S ribosomal RNA". It matches the Rfam family "Bacterial small subunit ribosomal RNA", at positions 29 to 507 of the family's 1533-position model. The record is from RNAcentral.
AGCGAACGCUGGCGGCAGGCUUAACACAUGCAAGUCGAGCGGGCCCUUCGGGGUCAGCGGCAGACGGGUGAGUAACACGUGGGAACGUACCCUUUGGUUCGGAAUAACGCUGGGAAACUAGCGCUAAUACCGGAUACGCCCUUUUGGGGAAAGGCUUGCUGCCGAAGGAUCGGCCCGCGACUGAUUAGCUAGUUGGUGGGGUAAUGGCCUACCAAGGCGACGAUCAGUAGCUGGUCUGAGAGGAUGAUCAGCCACACUGGGACUGAGACACGGCCCAGACUCCUACGGGAGGCAGCAGUGGGGAAUAUUGGACAAUGGGCGCAAGCCUGAUCCAGCCAUGCCGCGUGAGUGAUGAAGGCCUUAGGGUUGUAAAGCUCUUUUGUCCGGGACGAUAAUGACGGAACCGGAAGAAUAAGCCCCGGCUAACUUCGUG